Neomonachus schauinslandi (Hawaiian monk seal) is the source of this 115-nucleotide long non-coding RNA. RefSeq lists it as uncharacterized. The transcript is spliced from 2 exons. The record is from RefSeq and is a predicted model, not a curated record. Lineage: Eukaryota; Metazoa; Chordata; Mammalia; Carnivora; Phocidae.
CAGAGCCUUUUAAAUGGCUAAUAGAGGAAACCACUCCUAUAAAUGGCAGUAAUCCAACAGUAUGAGAGCUGAACAGCCAGGAUUAGAAUAAAGCAAGCAGUUUUAAUAUGAAGAC